UUUUUGGAGAGUUUGAUCCUGGCUCAGGACGAACGCUGGCGGCGUGCUUAACACAUGCAAGUCGAACGAAAAUACCAAGCUUGCUUGGUUGAUUAGUGGCGAACGGGUGAGUAACACGUGAGUAACCUGCCCCUUACUUUCCUGGAUAACUGCUCGAAAGGGUAGCUAAUACGGGAUAUUCUGACCAGCCCGCAUGGGUUGGUUUGGAAAGGUUGUUUUUCUGGUAAGGGAUGGGCUCGCGGCCUAUCAGCUUGUUGGUGGGGUGAUGGCCUACCAAGGCUUUGACGGGUAGCCGGCCUGAGAGGGUG
RNAcentral lists this ribosomal RNA (308 nucleotides) under Actinomyces graevenitzii. Its description in RNAcentral is "bacterial SSU rRNA". It matches the Rfam family "Bacterial small subunit ribosomal RNA", at positions 1 to 302 of the family's 1533-position model. The record is from RNAcentral. Lineage: Bacteria; Bacillati; Actinomycetota; Actinomycetes; Actinomycetales; Actinomycetaceae.